RNAcentral lists this ribosomal RNA (444 nucleotides) under uncultured prokaryote. Its description in RNAcentral is "bacterial SSU rRNA". It matches the Rfam family "Bacterial small subunit ribosomal RNA", at positions 355 to 796 of the family's 1533-position model. The record is from RNAcentral.
UGAGGAAUAUUGGACAAUGGGCGAGAGCCUGAUCCAGCCAUGCCGCGUGCAGGAAGACUGCCCUAUGGGUUGUAAACUGCUUUUAUACGGGAAGAAACUGCCCCACGCGUGGGGUACUGACGGUACCGUAAGAAUAAGGAUCGGCUAACUCCGUGCCAGCAGCCGCGGUAAUACGGAGGAUCCGAGCGUUAUCCGGAAUCAUUGGGUUUAAAGGGUCCGUAGGCUGGCAAUUAAGUCAGGGGUGAAAGUUUGCAGCUCAACUGUAAAAUUGCCUUUGAUACUGGUUGUCUUGAAUUAGUGUGAAGUGGUUAGAAUGAGUAGUGUAGCGGUGAAAUGCAUAGAUAUUACUCAGAAUACCAAUUGCGAAGGCAGAUCACUAACACUAUAUUGACGCUGAGGGACGAAAGCGUGGGGAGCGAACAGGAUUAGAUACCCCCGUAGUCC